Molecule: ribosomal RNA, 253 nt
Filed under: uncultured bacterium
Lineage: Bacteria
Description: partial 16S ribosomal RNA
Rfam family: Bacterial small subunit ribosomal RNA
Source: RNAcentral
UACGUAGGGGGCAAGCGUUGUCCGGAUUUAUUGGGCGUAAAGCGCGUGUAGGCGGCCAGAAAAGUCCGCUGUGAAAACUCGAGGCUCAACUUCGAGCUGUCGGUGGAAACUUUCUGGCUAGAGUCCGGAAGAGGAGAAUGGAAUUCCUGGUGUAGCGGUGAAAUGCGCAGAUAUCAGGAAGAACACCCGUGGCGAAGGCGGUUCUCUGGGACGGUACUGACGCUGAGACGCGAAAGCGUGGGGAGCGAACAGG